CAUUCUCUACCCUAAGAAUCUUGCUUCCUUUGGUUCCCACCAGAGCCACUGCCUCUGCUGAAAUGUGUCACCUCCAGUGCCCCUUGGAGCAAAGUCAACGCGGCAGGUAGAAAAAACAGCCAAUUUAGAGCAGUGUCUCAGAGCUUGCCCACCGCUGCAAAUGCCACCACGACAUAAAGCUUUCUGUUGCACCACAUCGUCCCUCUGUGAAGGCUGAUGUCUGAAACCGCGGUUCUCGGAAGCCUCCCCUCCUGCACCUUGUGUCUUAUCCCCGUGGUAAGAAAAGCGGUGGAUAUGGAUGGGCCUCUUUUAAAGCUGUGCAAAGUCACCAGUGGAUGAGCGAAUGGGCACGUGUCUGCAGAGCUGGCUCCCUUCUCCGCAACCUUUUCCCUUCUUUCAUAUUGGAUAACUGGAGAUCAUGAUAGGACCCAGAAGAUCUGACCACUGCUCCAGCUCAGACUUCUUUUUAUUGGGCAAUCAGUCUUAAGCAAGAAGACCUUGACCUCCCACCCUCUGCUUCUUUGACUGUACUUCUGCAUGCUUAGAAAUGGAGCUAUAAAAUCUGUCUUGGUGGUGUUCAUAUCAGCCUUCUCUAGCCUUUGGGGAGUAAAAACUAUUAUAAGAAGAAAUAAAAACUUGGCUUAUAAUCCCAUGAUCCAGUAAGAACUCACAGAAGAGCUUCAUCAAGAGAGACUGUGUCUCCUAGGAAUAUCAGAGGCCACACCCGUAAACUCUCUGUCCAAACACGAGCUGCACAGGAUGACCCCAACUGGACACUAAAGCGGACAAGAGGAAGCUUACGAGGUCUCAGCCCACAGGCGAGUGGGGCGUGCUGAGGAUGGGAGAAACAGUCUCCUAAGCGAAGAGUGGGCGGCCCCGAAAACACACUCACAAGUAGCAGUCGUCAGAGGCAGUGGGUUGUAUCUAUCUGUUUUGGAAUGUAUGUAUUUACCUAUAACUUUGUAACAACAAUUAAUAAAGAAAAGAGAC
This is a long non-coding RNA of Alexandromys fortis (reed vole), 990 nucleotides long. RefSeq lists it as uncharacterized. NCBI's taxonomy places the organism in Eukaryota, Metazoa, Chordata, Mammalia, Rodentia, Cricetidae. The record is from RefSeq and is a predicted model, not a curated record. The transcript has 3 exons.